RNAcentral lists this ribosomal RNA (253 nucleotides) under uncultured bacterium. RNAcentral describes it as "partial 16S ribosomal RNA". It matches the Rfam family "Bacterial small subunit ribosomal RNA", at positions 524 to 776 of the family's 1533-position model. The record is from RNAcentral.
UACGUAGGGGGCAAGCGUUGUCCGGAAUCAUUGGGCGUAAAGAGCGCGUAGGCGGCCCUGUAAGUCCGCUGUAAAAGUCAAGGGCUCAACCCUGGGAUGCCGGUGGAUACUGUCGGGCUCGAGUCCGGAAGAGGAGUGUGGAAUUCCUGGUGUAGCGGUGAAAUGCGCAGAUAUCAGGAGGAACACCUAUUGCGAAGGCAGCUCGCUGGGACGUAACUGACGCUGAGACGCGAAAGCGUGGGGAGCAAACAGG